AGAGUUUGAUCCUGGCUCAGAUUGAACGCUGGCGGCGUGCCUAACACAUGCAAGUCGGGCGGUAACAGGUGUAGCAAUACAUGCUGACGAGCGGCGAACGGGUGAGUAACGCUUCGGAAUCUACCCAUGGGUGGGGAAUAACCAGCCGAAAGGUUGGCUAAUACCGCAUACGUCCUACGGGGGAAAGCAGGGGAUCGCAAGACCUUGCGCCGAUGGAUGAGCCGAAGCCGGAUUAGCUAGUUGGUAGGGUAACGGCCUACCAAGGCGACGAUCCGUAGCUGGUCUGAGAGGACGACCAGCCACACUGGGACUGAGACACGGCCCAGACUCCUACGGGAGGCAGCAGUGGGGAAUAUUGGACAAUGGGGGAGACCCUGAUCCAGCGACGCCGCGUGUGUGAAAAAGGCCUGCGGGUUGUAAAGCACUUUUAGGUGGGGGAUGAAAAAGUUCAGGGCUAAUACCCCCUGGGAUCUUGACCUAACCCACAGAAAAAGCACCGGCUAACUCUGUGCCAGCAGCCGCGGUAAUAACAGAGGGGGGCAAGCGUUAAUCGGAAUUACUGGGCGGUAAAGCGUGCGUAGACGGUUACAUAAGUUUCGGGGGGUGAAAGCCCCGGGCUCACCCUGGGAAUUGCAUUCGAGACUGCGUAGCUAAGGGUGGCGGGAAGAAGGGGAAAGCGGAAUUUCCGG
This 689-nucleotide ribosomal RNA is filed under the name uncultured bacterium. RNAcentral describes it as "bacterial SSU rRNA". It matches the Rfam family "Bacterial small subunit ribosomal RNA", at positions 8 to 673 of the family's 1533-position model. The record is from RNAcentral.